Molecule: ribosomal RNA, 468 nt
Filed under: uncultured bacterium
Lineage: Bacteria
Description: partial 16S ribosomal RNA
Rfam family: Bacterial small subunit ribosomal RNA
Source: RNAcentral
GACGAACGCUGGCGGCGUGCUUAACACAUGCAAGUCGAACGGAAAGGCCCUGCUUUUGUGGGGUGCUCGAGUGGCGAACGGGUGAGUAACACGUGAGUAACCUGCCCUUGACUUUGGGAUAACUUCAGGAAACUGGGGCUAAUACCGGAUAGGAGCUCCUGCUGCAUGGUGGGGGUUGGAAAGUUUCGGCGGUUGGGGAUGGACUCGCGGCUUAUCAGCUUGUUGGUGGGGUAGUGGCUUACCAAGGCUUUGACGGGUAGCCGGCCUGAGGGGGUGACCGGCCACAUUGGGACUGAGAUACGGCCCAGACUCCUACGGGAGGCAGCAGUGGGGAAUAUUGCACAAUGGGCGGAAGCCUGAUGCAGCAACGCCGCGUGCGGGAUGACGGCCUUCGGGUUGUAAACCGCUUUCGCCUGUGACGAAGCGUGAGCGACGGUAAUGGGUAAAGAAGCACCGGCUAACUACGUG